GAUGAACGCUAGCUACAGGCUUAACACAUGCAAGUCGAGGGACCGGCGUACGGGUGAGUAACGCAUAUCCAACCUUCCCAUUACUGUGGGAUAACCUGCCGAAAGGCAGACUAAUACCGCAUAGUAAUGGGUGGGGAUGCGUCUGAUUAGCUUGUUGUCGGGGGAACGGCCCACCAAGGCGACGAUCAGGAGGGGUUCUGAGAGGAAGGUCCACCAGAUUGGAACUGCGACACGGUCCAAAACCGUAGGCGACGCAGCAGUGAGGUCUAUUAGGCACGGGACGGAAGUCGGAACCAGCCAAGUAGCGUGCAGGAUGUCGGGCUAUGGUUUGUAAACUGCUUUUGUAUGGCGAUAGGUACCAUAUGAAUAAGGACCGGCUAAUUCCGUGCCAGCAGCCGCGGUAAUUC
RNAcentral lists this ribosomal RNA (407 nucleotides) under uncultured bacterium. RNAcentral's name for it is "partial 16S ribosomal RNA". It matches the Rfam family "Bacterial small subunit ribosomal RNA", at positions 28 to 526 of the family's 1533-position model. The record is from RNAcentral.